RNAcentral lists this non-coding RNA (390 nucleotides) under Pongo abelii (Sumatran orangutan). The record is from RNAcentral. Lineage: Eukaryota; Metazoa; Chordata; Mammalia; Primates; Hominidae.
GUUUUCACACAGUGCUAAGGGGACACGCUGACAUGUGUGUCAUCAAGAACUCCAGCGCCCACACAGCCUGAGUCUGGAUGGGACGUUUGAAAUCAGCAAGGAGUGUGGGUUGGAUCUACGUUUCUGUUCAUACCAGGCAGGCACAUCGGAAGGCUCAUGGUCAGAGGAUGCUGGGACAAACGCCACAGGAGGUUCCUUUUUGUCUGGCUCACCCAGAAGAGAGGCUCCUCUCCUCCCUUUCCUGCAGCACAACGGCCUGGCUGGCACCCGAGGGCGGCCGGCGUGGGCUGACCUCAGAGGAGCAAGGCGUGUUUGCAGCUCUGCCACUCACAUCCACAGUGGCCAUGACAACAGACGCAGCACCAUCCAUUAAAGCUCUGUGUCAUUUCA